Nelumbo nucifera (sacred lotus) is the source of this 897-nucleotide non-coding RNA. NCBI's taxonomy places the organism in Eukaryota, Viridiplantae, Streptophyta, Magnoliopsida, Proteales, Nelumbonaceae. The record is from RefSeq and is a predicted model, not a curated record.
AGUUUAAUCACGCAUUUUAGAGCCAUGAAAAUGUCGAAAAUAUCCUUUAUAUUUUUUAGAAUGACGUGCAUACCCCUGGCGCCCCCCAAACCCAAGACGACAAUCCUACCAGACGCAAAAACCCCCAAACCCACGAAACUCUCUGCUCUUGUGAAAGCAAAGGGUUACAGGCGCCUACCAGUUCGUUUCUUCUUUCUUCAUCGAAGGUAUCUUUAUUUCGAUUUUUGGAAUUUUAGCACUUCUUUUCAUGAGGGUUUGUUUCAUUUAGGUUCGUUGUUAUUGGGUCUAGUGAUGAUGAUAACAAGGUUGGGUUUAUUUCUGUGGAUAUUUAUUUUUUUAAAUUUACUUGAAUGCCAAAUCUUCUUGUUUUGCUAUGCGAUAAUUGAUUUCUUUUUUUUUUUUUUUUGAUUCUGAAUACUUGGGGAAGUAUGAAUUCGGUGAGAUUUUGUUGUAGGGUUUUAAAUUUCUUGAAAGAGCCUCCUUGUUUACGUGUUUUGAUUAUCAAUUUUCUGGAAUAGUCGUUUAGUUUGUUUCUCUUUUGACAUUUGGGCAAUGCAAAAUGUUUUGGUGAAUAAAUUUUCCAAUGAAGUAAUUCCACCUUUACGUGUGGUGAUGAUUUUUCUGGACUUGGUCCUCUUGCCCUUUAAUUUCAAGGUUUAUGAUGCAGGGACAUUUGCCCAAAUAAUUUCAAGGUUUAAUGGUGGAGAAUAGAAGUAAAAGCAAUGGUGAUGACAAGUAAUGACUGUGUCUAUCUCAAAUUAAUAUCCAUUGACACAGUGGUUGCUAUUUAUAAAGGAAGACAUGGAAAUGAAGUAUUAACUGCUAAUUAAUUUGCUUUAACAUUGUAGAAUUAAUCCAUAUUUCUAAUUCAAUGGCGAGUGGAUCUCUCUUUCUGUC